RNAcentral lists this ribosomal RNA (253 nucleotides) under uncultured bacterium. RNAcentral describes it as "partial 16S ribosomal RNA". It matches the Rfam family "Bacterial small subunit ribosomal RNA", at positions 524 to 776 of the family's 1533-position model. The record is from RNAcentral.
UACGUAGGGGGCAAGCGUUGUCCGGAAUCAUUGGGCGUAAAGCGCGUGUAGGCGGCCCGAUAAGUCCGCUGUGAAAGUCCAGGGCUCAACCCUGGGAUGCCGGUGGAUACUGUCGGGCUCGAGUCCGGAAGAGGAGUGUGGAAUUCCUGGUGUAGCGGUGAAAUGCGCAGAUAUCAGGAGGAACACCGAUUGCGAAGGCAGCUCGCUGGGACGUCACUGACGCUGAGACGCGAAAGCGUGGGGAGCAAACAGG